This 434-nucleotide ribosomal RNA is filed under the name uncultured bacterium. Its description in RNAcentral is "partial 16S ribosomal RNA". It matches the Rfam family "Bacterial small subunit ribosomal RNA", at positions 29 to 507 of the family's 1533-position model. The record is from RNAcentral.
AGCGAACGCUGGCGGCAGGCCUAACACAUGCAAGUCGAACGAACCUUUCGGGGUUAGUGGCGGACGGGUGAGUAACACGUGGGAACGUGCCUUUAGGUUCGGAAUACCUCAGGGAAACUUGUGCUAAUACCGAAUGUGCCCUUCGGGGGAAAGAUUUAUCGCCUUUAGAGCGGCCCGCGUCUGAUUAGCUAGUUGGUUGAGGUAAUGGCUCAUCAAGGCGACGAUCAGUAGCUGGUCUGAGAGGAGGAUCAGCCACGUUGGGACUGAGACACGGCCCAAACUCGUACGGGAGGCAGCAGUGGGGAAUCUUGCGCAAUGGGCGAAAGCCUGACGCAGCCAUGCCGCGGGAAUGAGGAAGGUCUUAGGAUUGUAAAAUUCUUUCACCGGGGACGAGAAUGACGGUACCCGGAGAAGAAGCCCCGGCUAACUUCGUG